UACAGAGGGUGCAAGCGUUAAUCGGAAUUACUGGGCGUAAAGCGCGCGUAGGCGGAUACUUAAGUCGGAUGUGAAAUCCCUGGGCUUAACCUAGGAACUGCGUUCGAUACUGGGUGUCUAGAGUAUGGUAGAGGGAAGUGGAAUUUCUGGUGUAGCGGUGAAAUGCGUAGAUAUCAGAAAGAACACCAGUGGCGAAGGCGACUUCCUGGACCAAUACUGACGCUGAGGCGCGAAAGCGUGGGGAGCAAACAGG
Molecule: ribosomal RNA, 253 nt
Filed under: uncultured Coxiellaceae bacterium
Lineage: Bacteria; Pseudomonadati; Pseudomonadota; Gammaproteobacteria; Legionellales; Coxiellaceae
Description: partial 16S ribosomal RNA
Rfam family: Bacterial small subunit ribosomal RNA
Source: RNAcentral